This is a long non-coding RNA of Raphanus sativus (radish), 699 nucleotides long. RefSeq lists it as uncharacterized. The transcript has 2 exons. The record is from RefSeq and is a predicted model, not a curated record. Lineage: Eukaryota; Viridiplantae; Streptophyta; Magnoliopsida; Brassicales; Brassicaceae.
CAAACGGUGGCCGGACCGGUUUCUUCAACGCCGUGUACCUCAAAGCUAGCGACUUUUGCGGCGAAGAUCUUCUGACGUGGGCGUUGGAUCCUCAGUCUUCGUCUCAUUAUCCGAUCUCGACGAGAACAGUUCAAGCUCUAACUGAAGUUGAAGCCUUUGCUCUUGCAGCAGAAGAUCUCAAGCUUGUCGCCUCGCAGUUCAGACGGCUCCAUAGCAAACAGCUUCAACAUACUUUCAGGUUUUAUUCGGUACAAUGGAGGACAUGGGGAGCAUCGUUUAUACAAGCGGCGUGGAGGAGACAUUGUCGGAGAAGAUUGGCUAGGUCGUUAACGGAGGAAGAAGAUCGAUUCCGAAACGCGGUUGCAAAACGCGAACGCAGAGCCGCGUCGUCGUCGUCGAGUCUUGUUGCGACGUUAUAUGCGUCGCGGUUCGCGUCAAACGCGCUUCGCAAUCUGCGUCAGCACAAUACGCUGCCUUUGCUUCCUCCGAAGCCAUCAGAGCCUGAUUUCAGUGUUGAUGAUGAUUGAAACAUCUCUUCCACGACUCUACUUUACCACUUGUAAAUUGUCAACUACAAUAAUCAUUUUACUGUCUAUAAAAAAUGACCAUAAAUCAUGAUAAAAGUAUAGUAGAGUAACGAAUUUUUAUAUAUGAAUGAUAUACAGAGGAGAAAUUAUCUCGUGUAUUUCUAAACAAGAA